AAAUUGAAGAGUUUGAUCAUGGCUCAGAUUGAACGCUGGCGGCAGGCCUAACACAUGCAAGUCGAACGGUAACAGGAAGAAGCUUGCUUCUUUGCUGACGAGUGGCGGACGGGUGAGUAAUGUCUGGGAAACUGCCUGAUGGAGGGGAUAACUACUGGAAACGGUAGCUAAUACCGCAUAACGUCGCAAGACCAAAGAGGGGGACCUUCGGGCCUCUUGCCAUCGGAUGUGCCCAGAUGGGAUUAGCUAGUAGGUGGGGUAACGGCUCACCUAGGCGACGAUCCCUAGCUGGUCUGAGAGGAUGACCAGCCACACUGGAACUGAGACACGGUCCAGACUCCUACGGGAGGCAGCAGUGGGGAAUAUUGCACAAUGGGCGCAAGCCUGAUGCAGCCAUGCCGCGUGUAUGAAGAAGGCCUUCGGGUUGUAAAGUACUUUCAGCGGGGAGGAAGGGAGUAAAGUUAAUACCUUUGCUCAUUGACGUUACCCGCAGAAGAAGCACCGGCUAACUCCGUGCCAGCAGCCGCGGUAAUACGGAGGGUGCAAGCGUUAAUCGGAAUUACUGGGCGUAAAGCGCACGCAGGCGGUUUGUUAAGUCAGAUGUGAAAUCCCCGGGCUCAACCUGGGAACUGCAUCUGAUACUGGCAAGCUUGAGUCUCGUAGAGGGGGGUAGAAUUCCAGGUGUAGCGGUGAAAUGCGUAGAGAUCUGGAGGAAUACCGGUGGCGAAGGCGGCCCCCUGGACGAAGACUGACGCUCAGGUGCGAAAGCGUGGGGAGCAAACAGGAUUAGAUACCCUGGUAGUCCACGCCGUAAACGAUGUCGACUUGGAGGUUGUGCCCUUGAGGCGUGGCUUCCGGAGCUAACGCGUUAAGUCGACCGCCUGGGGAGUACGGCCGCAAGGUUAAAACUCAAAUGAAUUGACGGGGGCCCGCACAAGCGGUGGAGCAUGUGGUUUAAUUCGAUGCAACGCGAAGAACCUUACCUGGUCUUGACAUCCACGGAAGUUUUCAGAGAUGAGAAUGUGCCUUCGGGAACCGUGAGACAGGUGCUGCAUGGCUGUCGUCAGCUCGUGUUGUGAAAUGUUGGGUUAAGUCCCGCAACGAGCGCAACCCUUAUCCUUUGUUGCCAGCGGUCCGGCCGGGAACUCAAAGGAGACUGCCAGUGAUAAACUGGAGGAAGGUGGGGAUGACGUCAAGUCAUCAUGGCCCUUACGACCAGGGCUACACACGUGCUACAAUGGCGCAUACAAAGAGAAGCGACCUCGCGAGAGCAAGCGGACCUCAUAAAGUGCGUCGUAGUCCGGAUUGGAGUCUGCAACUCGACUCCAUGAAGUCGGAAUCGCUAGUAAUCGUGGAUCAGAAUGCCACGGUGAAUACGUUCCCGGGCCUUGUACACACCGCCCGUCACACCAUGGGAGUGGGUUGCAAAAGAAGUAGGUAGCUUAACCUUCGGGAGGGCGCUUACCACUUUGUGAUUCAUGACUGGGGUGAAGUCGUAACAAGGUAACCGUAGGGGAACCUGCGGUUGGAUCACCUCCUUACCUUAAAGAAGC
Molecule: ribosomal RNA, 1553 nt
Filed under: Escherichia coli
Lineage: Bacteria; Pseudomonadati; Pseudomonadota; Gammaproteobacteria; Enterobacterales; Enterobacteriaceae
Description: bacterial SSU rRNA
Rfam family: Bacterial small subunit ribosomal RNA
Source: RNAcentral